UGGGGAAUAUUGGACAAUGGGCGCAAGCCUGAUCCAGCAAUGCCGCGUGAGUGAUGAAGGCCUUAGGGUUGUAAAGCUCUUUUUACCAGGGACGAUAAUGACGGUACCUGGAGAAUAAGCCCCGGCAAACUUCGUGCCAGCAGCCGCGGUAAUACGAAGGGGGCUAGCGUUGUUCGGAAUUACUGGGCGUAAAGCGCACGUAGGCGGAUUGUUAAGUCAGAGGUGAAAUCCCGGAGCUCAACUUCGGAACUGCCUUUGAUACUGGCAAUCUAGAGUCCGGAAGAGGUUAGUGGAAUUCCCAGUGUAGAGGUGAAAUUCGUAGAUAUUGGGAAGAACACCAGUGGCGAAGGCGGCUAACUGGUCCGGUACUGACGCUGAGGUGCGAAAGCGUGGGGAGCAAACAGGAUUAGAUACCCUUGUAGUCCCUGAGCGGGCUGGCAAGGCGCAU
RNAcentral lists this ribosomal RNA (448 nucleotides) under uncultured bacterium. RNAcentral describes it as "bacterial SSU rRNA". It matches the Rfam family "Bacterial small subunit ribosomal RNA", at positions 355 to 825 of the family's 1533-position model. The record is from RNAcentral.